UCCUACGGGGGCAGCAGUGAGGAAUAUUGGUCAAUGGACGGAAGUCUGAACCAGCCAUGCCGCGUGCAGGAAGACGGCUCUAUGAGUUGUAAACUGCUUUUGUACAAGGGUAAACCUGAAUACGUGUAUUCAGCUGAAAGUACUGUACGAAUAAGGAUCGGCUAACUCCGUGCCAGCAGCCGCGGUAAUACGGAGGAUCCAAGCGUUAUCCGGAAUGACUGGGCGUAAAGGGAGCGUAGGCGGUCUGUUAAGUUGGAAGUGAAAUCCCGGGGCUCAACCCCGGAACUGCUUUCAAGACUGACGGG
RNAcentral lists this ribosomal RNA (305 nucleotides) under uncultured bacterium. Its description in RNAcentral is "bacterial SSU rRNA". It matches the Rfam family "Bacterial small subunit ribosomal RNA", at positions 337 to 640 of the family's 1533-position model. The record is from RNAcentral.